This is a small nucleolar RNA of Myotis lucifugus (little brown bat), 128 nucleotides long. Ensembl annotates it as small nucleolar RNA U109. The record is from Ensembl. Lineage: Eukaryota; Metazoa; Chordata; Mammalia; Chiroptera; Vespertilionidae.
CUACAUGUGGAAUUAUCUCCUCCCCAUUCCUUUAGGAGCAGGAAUGUGUCUGUAACAUGCUACAUUAACAGAGUUCUAGGACUGCUAUUUUAGUAGAGGUUGAGCAGUAGUAUAUUUCUCCUACAAAA